GACGAACGCUGGCGGCGUGCUUAACACAUGCAAGUCGAACGGAAAGGCCCUGCUUUUGUGGGGUGCUCGAGUGGCGAACGGGUGAGUAACACGUGAGUAACCUGCCCUUGACUUUGGGAAACCUUCAGGAAACUGGGGCUAAUACCGGAUAGGAGCUCCUGCUGCAUGGUGGGGGUUGGAAAGUUUCGGCGGUUGGGGAUGGACUCGCGGCUUAUCAGCUUGUUGGUGGGGUAGUGGCUUACCAAGGCUUUGACGGGUAGCCGGCCUGAGGGGGUGACCGGCACAAUUGGGCUGGGGAUACGCCCCAGACUCCUACGGGGGGCGGCAGUGGGGAAUAUUGCACAAUGGAGGGAGGCCUGAUGCAGCAACGCGGGGUGCGGGAUGGCGGCUUGGGGGUUUAAACCCGUUUUCGCCUGUGACGAAGCGGGAGUGACGGUAAGGGAUAAAGAAGCACCGGCUAACUACGUG
Molecule: ribosomal RNA, 468 nt
Filed under: uncultured bacterium
Lineage: Bacteria
Description: partial 16S ribosomal RNA
Rfam family: Bacterial small subunit ribosomal RNA
Source: RNAcentral